Long non-coding RNA from Parus major (Great Tit), 1674 nucleotides. The record is from Ensembl. Lineage: Eukaryota; Metazoa; Chordata; Aves; Passeriformes; Paridae.
AUGGAAUUGGGGGGGACAGCAGAGCCCACCCUGGCACCCCACAUUUCACAUCCCCUCCUUGAGGGAUGGAACACAGCCCACAUGGGUUCUAGAGGGCCUGAUGGAGGGAACACAGCCCACACGGGAUGGAGGGAACACAGCCCACACGGAAUGGAGGGAACACACCCCACACGGAAUGGAGGGAACACACCCCACACAGGAUGGAGGGAACACACCCCACACAGGAUGGAGGUAACACAGCCCACACGGGCCCUUGAGGGCCCGAUGGAGGGAACACAGCCCACACGGGUCCUGGAGGGCCCGAUGGAGGGAACACAGCCCACACGGGCCCUGGAGGGCCCGAUGGAGGGAAGACAGCCCACACGGGCCCUCCAGCCCGCCAGGCCCGAGGUGUGGGGGCAGCACCCCCCUCACAGGCACCACAACCCCCAUGGACCCUUUGGGUCACCCCCAGAGCGGGCCCACGCCCCCUCCCCGGCCCUGCGGAGUUUCGGGGGUCGCAGCCCCCCGGCCCCGGCCCCGCUCACCACAGACACCGCGCUCCGGCCCGUCCCGCUCCGCCUCCGGGCAGCCCGGCCGGAACCGGCCCCGCUGGAACCGCCCGGGACAGCCCCCACGGCCACCGGGGGAUCCCUGGCACCCCGGGGCCAGCAGCCCCACAGCCCCGUUCCCCGGCCCUGUCCCUCCCACACCGCCGAACCCGGGGGGCUGCAGCGGCCUGGGAACACCAGAAAGGCCCCGAUUCACCCGGGGAGGGCUGGCGGCCUUGCACCUGCGGGACCACACCUGGGAGCGGUACCCGGGACCUGCGGUAAAGGAUGGGAAUAUGCCAGGGAAAAGGGGGAAAACAAGCAAAGACAAAAAACAAAAUACCCACAAGAACAAAUAAACAAAAUAAAAACCCCAAACAAACUAGGGAAAGGGUGCUGGGGGCUCUUUCCCUCCUUUUUUUCCUUGUCCUUUCUAUUUCUUUCUUGGUUUUCCCCCUCCUUUUAUGGAACACAUUAUUUUUCCUUUUUUUCUUGUCUUUUCUAUCCCCCCUUCUCCCAGAUCCCACUCCCAAAUAUGUUUCCACAGGUGCAAGGCUCCCCUCCACCUGUUCCCCUCAUCCCUCCCUGGUCACUGUAUCCCACCUGCACAUCCUCCCCCUUCCUGGCAUUCCCAUCCCCACCCCGCAUCUUUGUUCCCCCAAAACACCUGAAAAGCAUUCCCCCUUCAAUUUCCACAAUAAUUCAAGAUCAGGAGAGCAGACCCCAACUUCAGGCUCUUUUUUCUCCAUUUAUUUUUUUCCAUUCAGGAGCAUUCCCACCCCUCAGGAAUCAUCUCCCUCUCAGGGGAACUGGGGCCACAACGCUCCAUUCUCACUCCAGCUCCCACUUCUCUCCUCCAAACCCCUCAUUUUCCUCCAGAUUUGGACUUUGGGGGCUGCUUUUCCCCAUUUUUAGGGGCCUGGGGACAUUCCCAAGCAUUGGCCCUGAGCCGCUCCCAGAGGGAGGGAAUAAUCCUCCCCCUCCUCCUCGGGGCUCUCAACCCUCGUUUCUCUCCUCCACAGCACCUUUUUCAUCCCAAAGUGGACUCUGGGCACCCCCAGUUCACCUUUCCCCAGAUACAGAGUCCAGUGGCAAACCCAAAACUCUUUUCCACCAGAUCCCUCAUCUCAUCUCCUCCCUUUAA